This is a long non-coding RNA of Lycium ferocissimum, 1101 nucleotides long. RefSeq lists it as uncharacterized. Lineage: Eukaryota; Viridiplantae; Streptophyta; Magnoliopsida; Solanales; Solanaceae. The record is from RefSeq and is a predicted model, not a curated record. The transcript has 3 exons.
AAUAACUCUGGAUAAUAAUUUUUUAUCGCGUGGAUAUUCACAUUUCUGUUAAUUUUCCCUAGACAUUAAUUAGUUUGAUCAACUAGGGAGAACAAUUUUAGACAUAGGCUCAGGAAAAGAUAGGCUCUAGAAUGGAGAGAAACUCACCAAGAAAACCAUAUUAAUCCUUGUUAUAAAAUUUGUUUAAAGGGUCAAAGUAGUACUCCUUGUCAUCCUAAAUCCUGGUGGUUCACCAGGUAUUAUUUAAUGGCGGCUUUUACGUUUCUGCCCAAAAAAAAAGAAGUACCACUUUAUGGAGGCUGCGCUUAACUAUAAAAAAAAAGAGGCUAAAUUGCUAAAGGAUCUUUCGGAAAAUAUUUUCUACAAAAAUGACUUUCGUCAUAUUCCACAUACACAGGUGACUGGGACCAAGGUGGCUCUUGCCAGCGGUCACAGCCUCUCUGACCUCAAGAGGUGGAGAAACUCUUUUCCCUUCAAAACAACGGAACAAAUGUGGAGGUUCGCCUUGUGAACCAGCAUCUGUACAGGGCCUUUGAAGGCACUAGAUUUCAUAUGCUAGACAUAUCUCAUAUGAGUGAGUUUAGAGCCGAUGCCCAUCCGGCUACAGCAGGUGGGAAGAAACAUGAUGAUUGCAUGCACUGAUGCUUACCAGCAGAGGCGGAUCUAGGAUUUAAAUUUUAGGGGUUCAACAUCUUAAAUUUUAGCACUAAACCAUUAUAUUUCUAAACUUAUGGGUUGAUAUCUACUAUUUAUUGUAAUUUUAAUAAAUUUUUACACAUAAAUUUAUACUCCGCGUCGAAAGUUUGGGGUUCAAUUGAACCCCAAGUUACAGAGCUCCAUCCGCCUCUGCUUACCAGGACUUGCACAUACCGGGAAUGACUUGUUUGUAGCAUAUUUAAGCAAUAUCGAAGAUAGGACCUAAGUUAUGACGAUUUCAUUCUUUAUGUACAAUUUCUUUCUGUUAAUUUCUUACAAUUAUCUUUCUUGAAGGCAAUCUUGUUACAACGUUGUUUUCAUUUCUCAUCUAUAAUAUUUAGUUAGCGACUGAAUGUUAAAAUUCGCAGAAAACAACUGCUAGCCCUUCCAUCACCUGAAGGUAAA